CAUAAAGUACAUAUAAACAAACUAAUAUUACAGCAAAAAAAAUUACAAAUAAAUAAGGUGAGGUGCAUUAACCAUUGUUCGAAAAACAGUUAGUGAAACACUUACAAGGCCUUAAAUUAUAAGAGGCACAAUUACACAAAAGGAUUAGUACCUCAGUAACUUCUAAAGGCCCACUCUAACUGCACAGCUUUCUUCGUCAUCUUCUUCUUAUUCUCCACCUUCCUCACGAAUGAUAACUAAUCUCCUACCAAUUCAAAAUUUCUCUCCUUGAAAGAAUUUAAACCGGACAAUCCCUCAUAUCUUCUUUGAUUGUUGUUAUUUACAGUAAAAAGAAUUGUACAAUGUACAUAUAUUCCCUUUUCUUAUGAGGAAUGAAUAACUGCAAUAAUUGAUGAUAUCAGUAAUUAGAUAAGCAACUACAGACAAUUCAAUUCACCAUCUAUUAUCUUGCAUAAACCAAGGCGAGUUUUCUCUCCUUGAGGACCUAGCCAACAUUGUAUUUGAUCUACUUCUUCGUGCUAAACCAGAUUCAUCCCUAGCACGCCUUCCUAUCCUUCCGAAGAAGGAAAAGAAAUUGCGAAAUGCACGGCCCAACCCACUGCCCUCUCUUGAUCUUCUCCCACUGGGUGCCCAUGAAAUCAUCCUAGGUGCAGUUGGAGCGUUGAACCCACCAUCCAUCUCCGUAAACACAACAGGAAGCUCCCUCUCUGCCGCUCUCCUUCCCCCAGUAAAUCUCCCUACCGCAAAACCGCCACCAGGCAGUCUCCAUAUCGUUAAGCCCACAGUCUCCUCACCUGACUCUGGUGAACUCCUGCCACUCCCACUGCCAUUUCCACGCAAGUCCGUCGGUAGCUCAUGCCGACAAACUGGACAAGAAUUGCGAAGAGAUAACCACGGGAGGAUGCAAUCAUAGUGAUAAAUGUGCUUACAUGGCAUCUCGCGCGCCUCCGUGUUAAGUUCAAAUGGCUCUUUACAAACUGCACAGUGAGAUUCCAUAGAGACGUGGCUGGAGAGGAUUUUGAUCACAGGCAUUGACUCGAUUGCAGCUUUUGAAGCUGGUGGAUGCUCAAAUCGACCAACACCGUUGAUUUCCAAUUGAGUCAACUGAACAAGAAGCCGGUCAAAUCCCGAUUCCAUCAAGAACUCCGACAUGCUCUCCGGUAGAGGACGGAGUCCAGACCCAACACCAUCGUCAUAGUAUAGCUCGAAGUCCCCGGAAGCUCCAUCAUUUGCGCCACCGCCAUCUGCAGGACCUCGGAGAACGAUGACUGGAUUGAAAGGGGAGCGAUCUCCGCCACUCCGACGGUUGCGGCGCAAUCUUGGCGUGGUGAUGUGAUCCGGAUUAGACGGGUACAUUGCGGCGGCAGGCAAUCGAUGGUGGAGUGGGGAACGAGAAGGGGUUCCAAUGUCCUCGACGAAACCGCCGCCACAUUCGGGGCAAAGGAUCGAAUCAUAGGUUGCCCGAACCCUGACCCUGAUGAAACGGCUGCAUCUGUAGCACC
RNAcentral lists this unclassified non-coding RNA (1502 nucleotides) under Hevea brasiliensis (rubber tree). Lineage: Eukaryota; Viridiplantae; Streptophyta; Magnoliopsida; Malpighiales; Euphorbiaceae. The record is from RNAcentral.